CGGAGUGUGGCGCAGUCUGGUAGCGUAUCUGGUUUGGGACCAGGUGGUCAGAGGUUCGAAUCCUCUCACUCCGACCA
This 77-nucleotide transfer RNA is filed under the name Brevundimonas sp. RNAcentral's name for it is "tRNA-Pro". It matches the Rfam family "tRNA". Rfam says of the family: Transfer RNA (tRNA) molecules are approximately 80 nucleotides in length. Their secondary structure includes four short double-helical elements and three loops (D, anti-codon, and T loops). The record is from RNAcentral. RNAcentral also lists the same sequence under 16 other names. Lineage: Bacteria; Pseudomonadati; Pseudomonadota; Alphaproteobacteria; Caulobacterales; Caulobacteraceae.